Molecule: non-coding RNA, 1054 nt
Organism: Cyanistes caeruleus (blue tit)
Lineage: Eukaryota; Metazoa; Chordata; Aves; Passeriformes; Paridae
Source: RefSeq, a predicted model, not a curated record
CUGUUUACGCAGAAAUGAUCAACAACCUGCUCCAGCCUUUGAUUGGGGCCAAGGACUGCACUUUGAUCAGACACAACGUGUUCCAUUCUCUGCCUAACACCGCCAACACGUUGAUAGGCCGGGCUGCCCACAUUGCCGUGCUGGACUCUGAACUUUUCCUGGAGAAGUUUUUCCUCGUGGCAGGACUCAACUACUUCAAAUAGUGCCUGAAAGAACAAAGUGCUAUGGCUUUAAGGCAUUCAAGCUUCCAAGUAUUGGUGCUUUUGGAAGAAAUAAAUAUUCCUCUUCAGUUUCUAUGUUUAUUGUCCACAUAAAGACAUGAGCCACUUGUGAAGUACAGAAUCAGAAUAAGGAGGUUAAUUCUCUAAAUGUGAUUGGACCAAUACAAUUCCCAUUUAUCCUGAAUAUUAAACCAGGAACUUGUCUGUCUUUGAUUUACUGCUUAUUUAUGUAUUAACAAACCUCUACAUUUGUAGCUCUUCUGGGGUAGUUAACACACAAGGAAACAAGUGUAUGUGAACUCAGGUUAAAACCUUCUUUGUGAUGAACUGAGAAGUCUGAAAACCAUACAUGAAAGAUUCAGUAUUUCUGUUUGUUGGAAGAAAAUAUUUGGAUGGUUCCAUACUGGUAAUAAUUUGUAACAUACAAAUUGUACAUUCAAAUAAUGGAAAGGAGUAACAUAUUUUACAUAGAAUGAACAAAUAUUGAUACUUGUCUUUAAAAAGAAACCCCAGCUUUAGUUUGGGAAGAAUUUCAUUCAAGUUAGAAGCUGCCAAACAAAGAGGACUACAUUGGAUUACUUGUGAAAUAUCAGUGGCAUCUGUUAAUAUUUCUUCUGUUUACAUUUAUAGAGGAUCAUAACUGACUGUCUUUGUUAUAACCUUAAAGGAACAAUUUUUACGUUUACAUUUGUAUCUAAGUCCAUUUGUCCCAAUUUUUUUUUAAAAAAAUUAUUACACUGAUACAGAAUUCAAAAUCUAGCCAGUUAUACCCUUGAAAACCCCAGACAUUUGAAAAAAACCAAGAAAACCAGAAUGAAGAUAUAUAAUGGUAA